Molecule: ribosomal RNA, 381 nt
Filed under: uncultured bacterium
Lineage: Bacteria
Description: partial 16S ribosomal RNA
Rfam family: Bacterial small subunit ribosomal RNA
Source: RNAcentral
GAAGAACCUUACCAGGGCUUGAUAUAUGGUUGAAACGGGGGAGAGGCGUGGCCGAGAGGAGCCCAUACAGGUGGUGCAUGGCUGUCGUCAGCUCGUGUCGUGAGAUGUUGGGUUAAGUCCCGCAACGAGCGCAACCCCCGCCGCGUGUUGCCAUCGGGUGAUGCCGGGAACCCACCCGGGCCCGCCGCCGUCAAGGCGGAGGAGGGCGGGGACGACGUCAAGUCAUCAUGCCCCUUAUCCCUGGGCCCACACGUGCUACAAUGGCCGGUACAGAGGGAUGCCCCCCCGCGAGGGGGAGCGGAUCCCGGAAAGCCGGCCCCAGUUCGGAUUGGGGGCUGCAACCCGCCCCCAUGAAGUCGGAGUGCUAGUAAUCGCGUAUCC